AAGACCUUGCGCUUUUGGAGCGGCCGAUGUCUGAUUAGUUUGUUGGUGAGGUAAAAGCUUACCAAGGCUUCGAUCAGUAGCUGGUCUGAGAGGACGGCCAGCCACACUGGGACUGAGACACGGCCCAGACUCCUACGGGAGGCAGCAGUGGGGAAUUUUGGACAAUGGGGGCAACCCUGAUCCAGCCAUGCCGCGUGAGUGAAGAAGGCCUUCGGGUUGUAAAGCUCUUUCAGCCGGAACGAAACGGUUACGGUUAAUACCCGUGACUACUGACGGUACCGGAAGAAGAAGCACCGGCUAACUACGUGCCAGCAGCCGCGGUAAUACGUAGGGUGCAAGCGUUAAUCGGAAUUACUGGGCGUAAAGCGUGCGCAGGUGGUUUUGUAAGUCAGAUGUGAAAUCCCCGGGCUUAACCUGGGAACU
Molecule: ribosomal RNA, 423 nt
Filed under: uncultured bacterium
Lineage: Bacteria
Description: bacterial SSU rRNA
Rfam family: Bacterial small subunit ribosomal RNA
Source: RNAcentral